This 515-nucleotide RNase P RNA is filed under the name Plasmodium yoelii yoelii. RNAcentral describes it as "Plasmodium RNase_P". It matches the Rfam family "Plasmodium RNase_P". The record is from Rfam by way of RNAcentral. Lineage: Eukaryota; Apicomplexa; Aconoidasida; Haemosporida; Plasmodiidae.
UGAGGAAUGAGUUUAAGCUCAAAAAUCCUGCAAAUAUACAUACACAAAAUUCAAAAAUCAAAAAAAGGAAAAGAGGGCUAAGACUUGAAAAUUAUAUUUUCUUUCUUUCCUUCUUUUUUUUUUUUUUUGUUUUUUUUUAUACAUUUUGUGUAAUUAAUAAAAUACAGGAAGGAAGGUCUGAGAUGCUGCAAAAAAAGAAUUAAUUAUAUUUCUUAAAAAUAAAUCAAAACUAUUUUUAAUAGUCUUGUAUUUAUUUUUUUAUACUUAUUUCUUUAUUAAUAUUUUUGAGAAAAAUAAUAUUGAACAAAUAUUAUUUAGCUACCAGAAAUAUCAAUCAUAUAUUUAUAGUAGUUUUUUUAAUUAUAAAAAAAUUAUUUAUAUAUAUUUGAUUUUGAAAAAGCUAAUAAGCAAGUAUACAUUGGUGAGUUCGAUUUUUGAGGUUUUUCAGCUACUUUGAUUUUUUUUCAAGUAGUAGAAAAAUAACUUAAUUCAGACUACUCCUAAAUUCAUUCCAA